GGGUGGGGCCUGUAGCUCAGAGGAUUAGAGCACGGCUACGAACCACGGUGUCGGGGGUUCGAAUCCCUCCUCGCCCA
RNAcentral lists this transfer RNA (77 nucleotides) under Datura stramonium (jimsonweed). Its description in RNAcentral is "tRNA-Arg". It matches the Rfam family "tRNA". Rfam says of the family: Transfer RNA (tRNA) molecules are approximately 80 nucleotides in length. Their secondary structure includes four short double-helical elements and three loops (D, anti-codon, and T loops). Further hydrogen bonds mediate the characteristic L-shaped molecular structure. tRNAs have two regions of fundamental functional importance: the anti-codon, which is responsible for specific mRNA codon recognition, and the 3' end, to which the tRNAs corresponding amino acid is attached (by aminoacyl-tRNA synthetases). tRNAs cope with the degeneracy of the genetic code in two manners: having more than one tRNA (with a specific anti-codon) for a particular amino acid; and 'wobble' base-pairing, i.e. permitting non-standard base-pairing at the 3rd anti-codon position. Lineage: Eukaryota; Viridiplantae; Streptophyta; Magnoliopsida; Solanales; Solanaceae. The record is from RNAcentral.